Molecule: ribosomal RNA, 460 nt
Filed under: uncultured bacterium
Lineage: Bacteria
Description: partial 16S ribosomal RNA
Rfam family: Bacterial small subunit ribosomal RNA
Source: RNAcentral
CCUACGGGUGGCAGCAGUGAGGAAUAUUGGUCAAUGGGCGCGAGCCUGAACCAGCCAAGUAGCGUGAAGGAUGACUGCCCUACGGGUUGUAAACUUCUUUUAUAAAGGAAUAAAGUGAGGCACGUGUGCCUUUUUGUAUGUACUUUAUGAAUAAGGAUCGGCUAACUCCGUGCCAGCAGCCGCGGCAAUACGGAGGAUACGAGCGUUUUCCGGAUUUAUUGGGUUUAAAGGGAGCGUAGGUGGGUGGUUAAGUCAGUUGUGAAAGUUUGCGGCUCAACCGGAAAAUUGCAAUUGAUACUGGCAGUCUUGAGUACAGUUGAGGUAGGCGGAAUUCGUGGUGUAGCGGUGAAAUGCAUAGAUAUCACGCAGAACUCCGAUUGCGAAGGCAGCUUACUAAACUAUAACUGACACUGAGGCACGAAAGCGUGGGGAGCAAACAGGAUUAGAUACCCCAGUAGUC